This 323-nucleotide unclassified non-coding RNA is filed under the name Hevea brasiliensis (rubber tree). Lineage: Eukaryota; Viridiplantae; Streptophyta; Magnoliopsida; Malpighiales; Euphorbiaceae. The record is from RNAcentral.
GAGCUCUGUCAUUCCUUUCGUCGGGAAGAUUGCUCCUUCGGAUACCUACAAGAUCUGGAAGCGUGACGGGAAUCUCCGAGCAGAUACUUCCCUAGCCGGUUUUGAUGGCUUGAAGAUCCAGCGAGCAGACCAGAGCUUCCUUUUCCUCGGCGACGGUGACCAUAUCCAUAACAUUCCUUCAGGUUCAUUGCUUGUGCUCAACCGUGAUGAUCGUAAAAUUUUAGACGCAUUUGAAAACGCGGGAGCUCCAAUGAGCGAGUCUGACAUUGCAGGAUUCUGCUCCCAGACCAGCGUAUACAGGCCUGGAAUGGACGUCACAAAGG